This 72-nucleotide microRNA precursor is filed under the name Alligator mississippiensis (American alligator). RNAcentral describes it as "microRNA ami-mir-1720 precursor". Lineage: Eukaryota; Metazoa; Chordata; Crocodylia; Alligatoridae. The record is from miRBase by way of RNAcentral.
CUUCUGAUCACCUCAGUUGUUGCUUUUGUGAGCAUUUCAUGGGAAAGCAACAAGAGGGCAGGUCUGAAACCC